AACCCAUGGUGAUGGCACCUUCUCAAUAAGUCUUUGUAUCUUUCCCAUGCAUCGUAAAGUGUUUCUAAAUCCAUCAACACAAAAGAAGAGAUAUCAUUAUGUAAUU
This 106-nucleotide small nucleolar RNA is filed under the name Gossypium arboreum. RNAcentral's name for it is "Plant small nucleolar RNA R71". It matches the Rfam family "Plant small nucleolar RNA R71". Rfam says of the family: R71 is a member of the C/D box family of snoRNAs containing the C (UGAUGA) and D (CUGA) box motifs. Multiple nearly identical copies of this snoRNA have been identified in Arabidopsis, and it is thought to function as a 2'-O-ribose methylation guide for 18S ribosomal RNA. Lineage: Eukaryota; Viridiplantae; Streptophyta; Magnoliopsida; Malvales; Malvaceae. The record is from Rfam by way of RNAcentral.